ACGAGAUCGAAAAUGGUCAAGAUCAGUGAAAAAAAAUGGCCGCCAGUGGGCGGGGCAUUUUUCUCUAUAUGUAUAUAGUGGCAGUUUUCCCUAUUUUGGCUAUAGAGAAACCUUGUAAACACUCUAGAAGUCACAAUUUUUGCCCGAUCAUCAUGAAAGUUGGUCAAAACAUUGGUUUUAUUGAUAUCUCGGACGAGUUUGGAAAUGGUCGGGAUCGGUGAAAAAACAUGGCUGCCAGUGGGCGGGGCAUUUUUCUCUAUAUGUAUUUAGUGAAAACAUGUGAACACAGUAGAAGUCACAUUUUUGGCCCAAUUUUCAUGAAAUUUGCUCAGAACAUUUGUUUCCUUGAUACGAGAGUUGAGUUCAAAAAUGGUUCCAGUCAGUUGAAUAACAUGGCUGCUGGGAGGGGGGCAGUUUUCUCAUUAUGCCGCCCCCCUUUCGAAGAAGAGGGGGUAUAUUGUUUUUUCUCAUGUCGGUCCGUCCGUCCACCAGAUGGUUUCCAGAUGAUAACUCAAGAGUACUGAUGCCAAGGAUCAUGAAACUUCAUAGGUACAUUGAUCAUGACUCGCAGAUGACCCCUACUGAUUUUCAGGUCACUAGGUCAAAGGUCAAGGUCACGAUGACCUGAAAUAGUAAAAUGGUUUCUGGAUGAUAACUCAAGAACACUUAUGCCUAGGAUCAUGAAACUUCAUAGAUACAUUGAUCAUGACUCGCAGAUAACCCCUAUUGAUUUUCAGGUCACUAGGUCAAAGGUCAAGGUCAUGGUGACCUGAAAUAGUAAAAUGGUUUCUGGAUAAUAACUCAAGAAGGCUUAUGCCUAGGAUCAUGAAACUUCAUAGGUACAAUGAUCAUGACUCGCAGAUGACCCCUAAUGAUUUUCAGGUCACUAGGUCAAAGGUCAAGGUCAUGGUGACCUGAAAUAGUAAAAUGGUUUCUGGAUGAUAACUCAAGAACGCUUAUGCCUAGGUUCAUGAAACUUCAUAGGUAUAUUGAUCAUGACUCGCAUAUGACCCCUAUUGAUUAUCAGGUCACUAGGUCAAAGGUCAAGGUCACAGUGCCAAAAAACGUAUUCACACAAUGGCUGUCAAGGUCACGGUGACUCAACUUAGAAAAAUGGUUUCCGGAUGAUAACUCAAGAAUUCUUAUGCCUAGGAUCAUGAAUCUUCAUAGGUACAGUGAUCAUGACUCGCAGCUGAAAUAAUGAUGAAACUUGACCAGGAUGUUUGUCUGGACAAUAUCUAGGUCAAGUUUGACAUUUGGUAAAGAUUGAAUGAACCGACUCCUCUCAGGUGAGCGAACUAGGGCCAUCUUGGCCCUCUUGUUUCAGAUACUUCCAUGUUUGUUUCCACCUGUUGCAAAAACCUUAGAAGCCUGACAGGUGCUUACUUUGUAGUAGUUUCACAUCCUUUUUUGAAGGAGGGUUGAGGUCUAAGUUUCAUUACUUCAUGAUUGUACCAUUUUAGUUUUUAUUUUA
Molecule: long non-coding RNA, 1474 nt
Organism: Dreissena polymorpha
Lineage: Eukaryota; Metazoa; Mollusca; Bivalvia; Myida; Dreissenidae
Exons: 2
Source: RefSeq, a predicted model, not a curated record